GGACAUGGGCGAAAAGCCUGAUCCCAGCAAUGCCGCGUGAGUUGAAAAAGGCCUUAGGGUUGUAAAGCUCUUUCACCCGUGAGGAUGAUGACGGUAGCGGGAGAAGAAGCCCCGGCUAAUUCCGUGCCAGCAGCCGCGGUAAUACGGAAGGGGCUAGCGUGUUCGGAUUUACUGGGCGUAAAGCGCGCGUAGGCGGCGGACCAAGUUAGGCGUGAAAGCCCUGGGCUCAACCCGGGAACUGCGCUUAAGACUGGUUUGCUUGAGUCCGGGAGAGGGUGGUGGAACUCCCAGUGUACGAGGUGAAAUUCGUAGAUAUGGGAAGAACACCGGCGGCGAAGGCGGCCACCUGGACCGGUACUGACGCUGAGGUGCGAAAGCGUGGGGAGCGAACAGGAUUAGAUACCCUGGUAGUCCACGCCCGUAAACGAUGUCAACUAGCCGUUGGGGGACUUGAUCCCUUAGUGGCGCAGCUAACGCGAUAAGUUGACCGCCUGGUGGAGUAC
RNAcentral lists this ribosomal RNA (503 nucleotides) under uncultured Alphaproteobacteria bacterium. RNAcentral's name for it is "bacterial SSU rRNA". It matches the Rfam family "Bacterial small subunit ribosomal RNA", at positions 367 to 883 of the family's 1533-position model. Lineage: Bacteria; Pseudomonadati; Pseudomonadota; Alphaproteobacteria. The record is from RNAcentral.